RNAcentral lists this ribosomal RNA (512 nucleotides) under uncultured bacterium. RNAcentral describes it as "bacterial SSU rRNA". It matches the Rfam family "Bacterial small subunit ribosomal RNA", at positions 11 to 510 of the family's 1533-position model. The record is from RNAcentral.
GUUGGAUCAUGGCUCAAAUUGAACGCUGGCGGCAGGCUUAACACAUGCAAGUCGAGGGGAAACGAUAUUGGAAGCUUGCUUCCAAUAGGCGUCAACCGGCGCACGGGUGAGUAACGCGUAUCCAACCUGCCCACCACUUGGGGAUAACCUUGCAAAAGUAAAACUAAUACCCAAUGAUAUCUCUAAAAAACAUCUGAAAAAAAUUAAAGAUUUAUCGGUGAUGGAUGGGGAUGCGUCUGAUUAGCUUGUUGGCGGGGUAACGGCCCACCAAGGCAACGAUCAGUAGGGGUUCUGAGAGGAAGGUCCCCCACAUUGAAACUGAAACACGGUCCAAACUCCUACGGGAGGCAGCAGUGAGGAAUAUUGGUCAAUGGACGAGAGUCUGAACCACCCAAGUAGCGUGCAGGAAGACGGCCCUAUGGGUUGUAAACUGCUUUUAUAAGGAAAUAAAGUUAGUCUCGUGAGACUUUUUGCAUGUACCUUAUGAAUAAGGACCGGCUAAUUCCGUGCCA